Molecule: long non-coding RNA, 626 nt
Filed under: Taeniopygia guttata (zebra finch)
Lineage: Eukaryota; Metazoa; Chordata; Aves; Passeriformes; Estrildidae
Description: lncRNA (ENSTGUG00000026093.1)
Source: RNAcentral
CUCAAGGUGAGACUGGGAUGGACUGGGAGGGACUGGGAGGGACUGGGACAAACUGGGAGGGACUGGGACGGACUGGGAGUCACUGGGAUGGGACUGGGAUGGACUGGGAGUCGCUGGGAGUCACUGGGAGUGAGGACAUGGCACUGGGAGCACUGGGGAGAGGGAAUCUUCAGGGAGAGGGACGAGUUCGUGGUGAGGGUGGGACCCCCCGAAUCUCCCCAGCUGGCGCUGCAGACGGGCCGGGAGCCGCCGCCCAUCUGGCGGGUGCAGAAGGCGCUGCUGCAGAAAUUCACCCCCGAGAUCAAAGACGGGCAGCGGCAGUUCUGCGCCACCAGCAACUACCUGGGCUAUUUCGGGGACGCCAAGCACAGGUACCAGCGGCUCUACGUCAAGUUCCUGGAGAACGUCAACAAGAAGGAUUACGUGAGGGUCUGCUCCCGGAAACCCUGGCACCGCCCGCUGGCGCUCAGGUGGGCACACCUGGGCACCUGGGGGCACAUGGGGGUACCUGGGCACAGCUGGGGGCACCUGGGCACACCUGGGGCACCUGGGGGUACCUGGGCACACCUGGGCACCUGGGGGCAACUGGGGCACCUGGGGGCACCUGGGCACAGCUGGGCACAGCU